Dreissena polymorpha is the source of this 1593-nucleotide long non-coding RNA. RefSeq lists it as uncharacterized. The transcript is spliced from 3 exons. The record is from RefSeq and is a predicted model, not a curated record. NCBI's taxonomy places the organism in Eukaryota, Metazoa, Mollusca, Bivalvia, Myida, Dreissenidae.
CUUGUAGAUGUUGAUGCAUAUUUACACGGGAAGCUAUGAAGAACUACAAGAGCCUAGAGGCCCACAACUAUUUCAGGUCAGGCUGGGUGGAAACAUUCUUCUCAUACCAACUCCAUCCAAGCCAGCAUAUACUUCUGAAGGCAAAAGCUGUCUGAAUCCUGUUCUCAUGUUGCCGCAGUCCUGUUUAAGCUAGAAGCAGCUGUGAGACUUGGAUACACUACGAAAGCUUGUACCGAGGAACCGUGCAAAUGGAAUCAAGACUUUAUGAAGAAAAUUGGCCCUGAUCCAAUAGCGCAAAUUAGUUUUUACAGUGAUACCAAAUUUGAAAAAUCACGUCAGCGCAGUAAGAAGAGAAUAUUUCAGUUCGAACCUUCUAAAGAAAAUGAACAGGCUAAGUUUCUAGAUGCUUUAAAAUGUCUGAAGUCUAAACCAGUCUUGCUGAGUUGUUUUAAUAUUUAUUCAGAGGAUUUUCAUUGGAAGCAGUCAGCCAAGCCCAAUUCAAAAUUAGCACCAUCCUUAAGAACGCUGUAUAAUGAAAGUAAUACAAAACUUACUGAAAGUGAAUUGGUGAUAAAUGUAAAGCUCAGCUUCAGAAAAUGGAACUCAGUGAAGAGUCUAUUAAAUUUAUCUACAAGUCUACCACAACCCAGAGUGACAAUUUAAUGUGGUAUGAGCAAAGAGUGGGUUGAAUAACAUCCUCUACUGUUCAUGCCAUUACACACACUAACAUAGAAAACGCUGCAAAGUCUAUAAUUCUGAGUGUAUGCAAGCCAAGAGAUCACCCAUUAAAAUGUGAACCUGUGCUUUGGGGCAUAAAAAUGAAGAUGCAGCUUUAAGUGCGUACAAGUGUUAACUGUCGUCAUCUCAUACCAAAUUUCCAAAUUUCGAAGGAUUAUCCAUUCAUUGGCGUAAGUGUGGACAGCCUGAUGACUUGUGACUGCCAUGGAAUCACUGUUGUGGAAGUGAAAUGUCCAUAUACAGCUAAAAACAAAGAUUGUAAGACAUAUUUGAAUUCUUCAAAUUGUCAUUUGGACAAUAACCAAUUUAAGAAAUCACACAAGUAUUUCUCACCGGUGCAGCUGCAAAUGUAUGUUUACAAUGCAAAGUGUUGUGACUUCAUUACUUGGGCACCAAAAUUUGUAAUCAUUACAUAUGUUGAAAGAGAUGAUGAAUUUAUAAAGAACAUGUUAAACAAAUGCAAGAAUAUUUAUGUGGCUCAUAUCUUUCCGGAACUACAUACACGAAGGCUGGAAAUGUAACAGUAUGCUGAAGUCACACAAGAAAAACCUAACCACCAAAAACUUUACUGUUCAUGUCAGAUGCCUCAAGAUGAAAAAGAGUAAAUUGGAUGUGACAAUCCAGACUGUGAAAUUGAGUGGUUCCAUUGCAAUGCUUGAAAAUUAAAAGAAAACCAAAAGGUCAAUGGUUCUGUCCCACUUGUAGAAAAUAACUGAACCAGCUGCAUUUGUGUAAUGGACAGUAUGCAAAGUGCAUAUCAUUGACAAAAUAAAAAAACAAUUAGAUAUAUUUAUAAACAAGAAAUGCAUGAAUUAAAGAAUAAGUGAGCUAUUACUAAUCUUUCAGAUUUGGACA